Molecule: long non-coding RNA, 208 nt
Filed under: Mytilus galloprovincialis (Mediterranean mussel)
Lineage: Eukaryota; Metazoa; Mollusca; Bivalvia; Mytilida; Mytilidae
Source: RNAcentral
CAGGGGUUAAGAAAUUUUGUAAUAGCUCACUAGCCCAGGGCUAAUUGGUAGCAGGAUUUUACUAGCCCUGUUGGAAGAACUACUAGCCCAACAAAACUGACAUACUAGCCCUAAUAUGCCUUACAAAUUCAGAGUUUGCUGCAAUAACCAUGAAUUCUAUAAACUUAACAUUUUUUUUAUCCAUUGUACAGAAGAUUUUUGCAAAUUG